GGGCCCCAGAUAUGCGAAUCUAAGGUGAUCGAGAAUUGUCCCAAGGUGCGAUCGCUCGAUGACUUGGCUCCAAAUUAAGUGGACAAAACCAUGGUGACCGUCUUUCAAGUCCGAGUCUUCCAAUUCUUCCAUGGAUGGAUAUCGAGCUCAAUUGAUUUCCCAUCAACAAAUCCUGUUAAGACUGCAAUACCACCAUGACCAAAUUUGCAAGAGUGGGGCUUUUUGGAAUGUAUUGUUAGCCAUUGACCUUGUGUUUUGGUGAGUCUCUGGAAUCAUUUGAGCCGAUUGUAGAAAAAACUUUGCAAGGGCACACAAAGUUGUAGAGAGUGCUGGGCCCAACACCACUAUGUUUGAAGAUGACCCUCCU
RNAcentral lists this long non-coding RNA (367 nucleotides) under Phoenix dactylifera (date palm). Its description in RNAcentral is "long non-coding RNA (PDAC_LNC001189)". Lineage: Eukaryota; Viridiplantae; Streptophyta; Magnoliopsida; Arecales; Arecaceae. The record is from RNAcentral.